RNAcentral lists this ribosomal RNA (2225 nucleotides) under bioreactor metagenome. Its description in RNAcentral is "bacterial LSU rRNA". It matches the Rfam family "Bacterial large subunit ribosomal RNA", at positions 727 to 2925 of the family's 2925-position model. The record is from RNAcentral.
GAUCUAUCCAUGGCCAGGUUGAAGUCCGGGUGACACCGGAUGGAGGACCGAACCAAUUGGUGUUGCAAAACCAUUGGAUGAGCUGUGGAUAGGAGUGAAAAGCUAAUCGAGUGCGGUGAUAGCUGGUUCUCCCCGAAAUGCAUUUAGGUGCAGCCUCUUGCGUUCAGUGACGGAGGUAGAGCACUGGAUGGGUGAGGGGGGUGGUGACCCUACCGAACUCAACCAAACUCCGAAUGCCGUCACUUAAAAGCAGGGGAGUGAGACCGUGGGGGAAAAGCUCCGCGGUCGAAAGGGAAACAGCCCAGACCGACGGCUAAGGUCCCCAAUGCGGGCUAAGUGUGGUAAGGAUGUGGAAGAGCUCAGACAGCCAGGAGGUUGGCUUAGAAGCAGCCAUCCUUGAAAGAGUGCGUAAUAGCUCACUGGUCGAGCGCUUCUGCGCCGAAAAUGUAGGGGGCUAAGCUCGCAACCGAAGCCUCGGAUCCGAAAAGCCAGAUCUUUUCGGAUGGUAGGGGAGCGUUCCUGUCGGGCCGAAGUCGCAUCGUGAGGUGCGGUGGACUGACAGGAAGUGAGAAUGCCGGCAUGAGUAGCGUUAAAGCAAGUGAAAGACUUGCUCACCGGAAGCCCAAGGGUUCCUGGGGAAGGGAAUCCGCCCAGGGUUAGGCGGGACCUAAGGUGUAGCCGAAGGGCGAAGCCGAUGGACAGCCGGUAGACAUUCCGGCCCCACCUUGGUGACGUUUGUACCGAAGGGGUGACGCAGGGAGCUAGGCACGCUGGGCGAUGGAAUGCCCAGUCCAAGGGAGUAGGGGGAGCCUUCAGGCAAAUCCGAGGGCUCGAAACCCCGAGACCUGAUGGGGAGCCUUAAUUAUAAGGCGAAGGUGUUGACGCUGCACUGCCGAGAAAAGCCUCUAGGGAGGAGCCAAGGUGCCCGUACCCUAAACCGACACAGGUGGGCUGGUUGAGCAGACUGAAGGUGUACGGGAUAACUCUCGCUAAGGAACUCGGCAAGUUGACCCCGUAACUUAGGGAGAAGGGGUGCCCGCGUUAGGUGAACUCUUUUACAGGGGUAGCCGAGGCGGGUUGCAGAAACCAGGUCCAGGCGACUGUUUAAUAAAAACACAGGGCUCUGCUAAAGGCGAAAGCCGAUGUAUAGGGCCUGACACCUGCCCGGUGCCGGAAGGUUAAGGGGAGGGGUUAGCCAAAGCAAUUUGGCGAAGCUCUAAACCGAAGCCCCGGUAAACGGCGGCCGUAACUAUAACGGUCCUAAGGUAGCGAAAUUCCUUGUCGGGUAAGUUCCGACCUGCACGAAAGGUGUAACGAUCUGGACGCUGUCUCAGCGAGAGACCCGGUGAAAUUGUGGGACCGGUAAAGACGCCGGUUACCCGUGGUUGGACGGGAAGACCCCGUGGAGCUUUACUGUAGCCUGAUAUUGGACUUUGGUACGUCAUGUACAGGAUAGGUGGGAGGCUGUGAAGCUAGGGCGCCAGCCUUAGUGGAGCCACCCUUGGGAUACCACCCUUGAUGUGCUGGGGUUCUAACCGCGAAAGCGGAACAGUGUCAGGUGGGCAGUUUGACUGGGGCGGUCGCCUCCUAAAGAGUAACGGAGGCGCGCGAAGGUCACCUCAAGGCGUAUGGAAAUCGCCUGAAGAGCGUAAGGGCAUAAGGUGGCCUGACUGCGAGAGCGACAGCUCGAGCAGGCACGAAAGUGGGUCCUAGUGAUCCGGCGGUUCCGAGUGGAAGGGCCGUCGCUCAACGGAUAAAAGCUACCCCGGGGAUAACAGGCUGAUCCCGCCCGAGAGUUCCUAUCGACGGCGGGGAUUGGCACCUCGAUGUCGGCUCAUCGCAUCCUGGGGCUGUAGCAGGUCCCAAGGGUUGGUCUGUUCGCCCAUUAAAGCGGUACGUGAGCUGGGUUUAGAACGUCGUGAGACAGUUCGGUCCCUAUCCACCACGGGCGUAGGGGGUUUGAGAGGAGCUGCUCCUAGUACGAGAGGACCGGAGUGGACGAACCUCUGGUGUACCGGUUGUGGCGCCAGCUGCAGGAGCCGGGUAGCCACGUUCGGAAAGGAUAACCGCUGAAGGCAUCUAAGCGGGAAGCCUACCUCAAGAUGAGACCCCCCACUGGGAAAGCCAGGUAAGGUGUCCUGGAGAUGACAGGGUAGAUAGGCCGGAGGUGGAAGCCCUGUAAAGGGUGUAGCUGACCGGUACUAAUACACCGAGGCCUUGUCCUU